GGCGAUGUAGUUAAAUUGGAAAAACCCCUACAUGGCAUGUAGGAAUUGCAAGUUCGAGCCUCGCCAUCGUCA
RNAcentral lists this transfer RNA (72 nucleotides) under Filimonas zeae. It matches the Rfam family "tRNA". Rfam says of the family: Transfer RNA (tRNA) molecules are approximately 80 nucleotides in length. Their secondary structure includes four short double-helical elements and three loops (D, anti-codon, and T loops). The record is from Rfam by way of RNAcentral. Lineage: Bacteria; Pseudomonadati; Bacteroidota; Chitinophagia; Chitinophagales; Chitinophagaceae.